Molecule: long non-coding RNA, 291 nt
Organism: Ochotona curzoniae (black-lipped pika)
Lineage: Eukaryota; Metazoa; Chordata; Mammalia; Lagomorpha; Ochotonidae
Exons: 3
Source: RefSeq, a predicted model, not a curated record
CCAAAUCUGGAAGACAGGAGCUUCUAUGUCUCUCAUGGUCCUCCCUGUUUCUUCCCAGAAACCUUGACUUGAUCCAGGAACAAGGAAAACUGUGACGUUGAACCCCAGAGUGAAGUUGAUUUAAGGAGAGUGAAACAUCAAAUCCAAAACCACCUGCAGAUACUAGUGAACUAAUGAACCUUCUCAGUGACUUGAGAAACACUUUUUUUUUUGUUCUGAAUCCACCACAUUGCUUCUAAAGAUUUAACAGUAAGUAUAAUGUAUGCUAUAGUUUCCUACAAAAUUUUGAAG